UGAGGGUCAGAGCCAGCUGCCCUGCUGCCCAGCCCUUGAGGACACAGAGUCACACUCCUCUCCCACCCUCAAGUGCCUCGUGAACCCCUCUCUCCAGGAGGAGGGCAUCAUGACGCACUAGACCUGGCUGCAGGUGGUGAGUGAAUGUAGCUGCGCCCUGAGCAGAGGGGAGAGGGGCCAUGAGGAGGCUGUUUUGGGGCCCUUCUGGAGCAGGGCCGGAGAAGGGUAGGAGAUUGAAGAGGUGCAACCAGCGGAAAUGCCCAGCCCCGGGACCAGGGGACUAGGGACAGGAGCCUACCCUGUGCGGCUCUGAGGAGUGGCUGUGAGCACUGCACGCAGGACUGAGAAAGCCCGGGAUAAGCCCGGAGUGCAGGGAAACCCGCAGCCCCCUGGGCAGAUGUGGAGAAGAAUCUGGACAAGCUGACCGAGACCCCGGUACCGGGGGUCUCCGUGUGUGCCUGGCUGCGUGAUCAGCUGGUUUCCUGUUUGCUGUCACCUUCCGAUGAGUCUCCCUCUAAGUGUCAACAUGAAUUUUGAAGAAUCUGCAUUCAAUUCCAUAUCAGCCUGAGUUAAAAACUUUAGAAUGGGGAAUCCACCUCUCGCUUUAUAACCACCUACUUCCUGUCACUCGUCAUUUUCUAAAUAAAUGAGAAGUUCCCUUCAAAGCUUAUAAGCAUCUUCUAAACCCAGAAACAAAUAUAGUUGUUUAUUUUCUUCAUGUUAAGGCUACAGAAACCUGCCCUUUGCAAAGAAAAAUAUAUAUAUAUCCUGCUUAAUGUAGAUUUUUCUUAUAACAAUAACACUAACCUUAAAAAAACAAAAAAACAAAAACAAAAACAAAAAACCUCAUGUUGAAAAAUAGUAUCCUGGCUGG
Molecule: long non-coding RNA, 874 nt
Filed under: Homo sapiens (human)
Lineage: Eukaryota; Metazoa; Chordata; Mammalia; Primates; Hominidae
Description: HSALNT0059830
Source: RNAcentral